GGAGGAGCCAUUACAGUGGUUGAGCAUCUGCUUGGCAUGCAGAAGAUCUCAGGUUCAAUCCCUGGCAUCUCCG
Molecule: transfer RNA, 73 nt
Filed under: Sphaerodactylus townsendi
Lineage: Eukaryota; Metazoa; Chordata; Lepidosauria; Squamata; Sphaerodactylidae
Description: tRNA-Ala
Source: RNAcentral